RNAcentral lists this ribosomal RNA (2990 nucleotides) under Salmonella enterica. RNAcentral describes it as "23S ribosomal RNA". It matches the Rfam family "Bacterial large subunit ribosomal RNA". The record is from RNAcentral. Lineage: Bacteria; Pseudomonadati; Pseudomonadota; Gammaproteobacteria; Enterobacterales; Enterobacteriaceae.
GGUUAAGCGACUAAGCGUACACGGUGGAUGCCCUGGCAGUCAGAGGCGAUGAAGGGCGUGCUAAUCUGCGAUAAGCGCCGGUAAGGUGAUAUGAACCGUUAUAACCGGCGAUACCCGAAUGGGGAAACCCAGUGUGAUUCGUCACACUAUCAUUAACUGAAUCCAUAGGUUAAUGAGGCGAACCGGGGGAACUGAAACAUCUAAGUACCCCGAGGAAAAGAAAUCAACCGAGAUUCCCCCAGUAGCGGCGAGCGAACGGGGAGGAGCCCAGAGCCUGAAUCAGCAUGUGUGUUAGUGGAAGCGUCUGGAAAGGCGCGCGAUACAGGGUGACAGCCCCGUACACAAAAGCGCAUGUGCUGUGAGCUCGAUGAGUAGGGCGGGACACGUGGUAUCCUGUCUGAAUAUGGGGGGACCAUCCUCCAAGGCUAAAUACUCCUGACUGACCGAUAGUGAACCAGUACCGUGAGGGAAAGGCGAAAAAGAACCCCGGCGAGGGGAGUGAAAAAGAACCUGAAACCGUGUACGUACAAGCAGUGGGAGCACAGGUUUACCUGUGUGACUGCGUACCUUUUGUAUAAUGGGUCAGCGACUUAUAUUCUGUAGCAAGGUUAACCGAAUAGGGGAGCCGGAGGGAAACCGAGUCUUAAUUGGGCGUUAAGUUGCAGGGUAUAGACCCGAAACCCGGUGAUCUAGCCAUGGGCAGGUUGAAGGUUGGGUAACACUAACUGGAGGACCGAACCGACUAAUGUUGAAAAAAUUAGCGGAUGACCUGUGGCUGGGGGUGAAAGGCCAAUCAAACCGGGAGAUAGCUGGUUCUCCCCGAAAGCUAUUUAGGUAGCGCCUCGUGAAUUCAUCUCCGGGGGUAGAGCACUGUUUCGGCUAGGGGGCCAUCCCGGCUUACCAACCCGAUGCAAACUGCGAAUACCGGAGAAUGUUAUCACGGGAGACACACGGCGGGUGCUAACGUCCGUCGUGAAGAGGGAAACAACCCAGACCGCCAGCUAAGGUCCCAAAGUCAUGGUUAAGUGGGAAACGAUGUGGGAAGGCCCAGACAGCCAGGAUGUUGGCUUAGAAGCAGCCAUCAUUUAAAGAAAGCGUAAUAGCUCACUGGUCGAGUCGGCCUGCGCGGAAGAUGUAACGGGGCUAAACCAUGCACCGAAGCUGCGGCAGCGAACGUAUCACUUAAAGCGAUUCAGCGGGUUACGAUUGACGGAGCGAAGCGACGUCAAAGCGUAUACAAAGUCGAGUCGGUUUAAGGAUACGUUCGUUGGGUAGGGGAGCGUUCUGUAAGCCUGUGAAGGUGGCCUGUGAGGGUUGCUGGAGGUAUCAGAAGUGCGAAUGCUGACAUAAGUAACGAUAAAGCGGGUGAAAAGCCCGCUCGCCGGAAGACCAAGGGUUCCUGUCCAACGUUAAUCGGGGCAGGGUGAGUCGACCCCUAAGGCGAGGCCGAAAGGCGUAGUCGAUGGGAAACAGGUUAAUAUUCCUGUACUUGGUGUUACUGCGAAGGGGGGACGGAGAAGGCUAUGUUGGCCGGGCGACGGUUGUCCCGGUUUAAGCGUGUAGGCUGGUUUUCCAGGCAAAUCCGGAAAAUCAAGGCUGAGGCGUGAUGACGAGGCACUACGGUGCUGAAGCAACAAAUGCCCUGCUUCCAGGAAAAGCCUCUAAGCAUCAGGUAACAUCAAAUCGUACCCCAAACCGACACAGGUGGUCAGGUAGAGAAUACCAAGGCGCUUGAGAGAACUCGGGUGAAGGAACUAGGCAAAAUGGUGCCGUAACUUCGGGAGAAGGCACGCUGACACGUAGGUGAAGUGAUUUACUCACGGAGCUGAAGUCAGUCGAAGAUACCAGCUGGCUGCAACUGUUUAUUAAAAACACAGCACUGUGCAAACACGAAAGUGGACGUAUACGGUGUGACGCCUGCCCGGUGCCGGAAGGUUAAUUGAUGGGGUCAGCGCAAGCGAAGCUCCUGAUCGAAGCCCCGGUAAACGGCGGCCGUAACUAUAACGGUCCUAAGGUAGCGAAAUUCCUUGUCGGGUAAGUUCCGACCUGCACGAAUGGCGUAAUGAUGGCCAGGCUGUCUCCACCCGAGACUCAGUGAAAUUGAACUCGCUGUGAAGAUGCAGUGUACCCGCGGCAAGACGGAAAGACCCCGUGAACCUUUACUAUAGCUUGACACUGAACAUUGAGCCUUGAUGUGUAGGAUAGGUGGGAGGCUUUGAAGUGUGGACGCCAGUCUGCAUGGAGCCGACCUUGAAAUACCACCCUUUAAUGUUUGAUGUUCUAACGUGGACCCGUAAUCCGGGUUGCGGACAGUGUCUGGUGGGUAGUUUGACUGGGGCGGUCUCCUCCUAAAGAGUAACGGAGGAGCACGAAGGUUGGCUAAUCCUGGUCGGACAUCAGGAGGUUAGUGCAAUGGCAUAAGCCAGCUUGACUGCGAGCGUGACGGCGCGAGCAGGUGCGAAAGCAGGUCAUAGUGAUCCGGUGGUUCUGAAUGGAAGGGCCAUCGCUCAACGGAUAAAAGGUACUCCGGGGAUAACAGGCUGAUACCGCCCAAGAGUUCAUAUCGACGGCGGUGUUUGGCACCUCGAUGUCGGCUCAUCACAUCCUGGGGCUGAAGUAGGUCCCAAGGGUAUGGCUGUUCGCCAUUUAAAGUGGUACGCGAGCUGGGUUUAGAACGUCGUGAGACAGUUCGGUCCCUAUCUCGCCGUGGGCGCUGGAGAACUGAGGGGGGCUGCUCCUAGUACGAGAGGACCGGAGUGGACGCAUCACUGGUGUUCGGGUUGUCAUGCCAAUGGCACUGCCCGGUAGCUAAAUGCGGAAGAGAUAAGUGCUGAAAGCAUCUAAGCACGAAACUUGCCCCGAGAUGAGUUCUCCCUGAGACUUAGAGUCUCCUGAAGGAACGUUGAAGACGACGACGUUGAUAGGCCGGGUGUGUAAGCGCAGCGAUGCGUUGAGCUAACCGGUACUAAUGAACCGUGAGGCUUAACCUU